This 235-nucleotide ribosomal RNA is filed under the name uncultured fungus. Its description in RNAcentral is "partial small subunit ribosomal RNA". The stretch from base 114 to 235 matches the Rfam family "Eukaryotic small subunit ribosomal RNA", at positions 746 to 864 of the family's 1831-position model. The record is from RNAcentral. Lineage: Eukaryota; Fungi.
GACGAAACUGCUAGCUGGCCCGCCACGCAAGUGUGUGAGUGCCGGCUUGGCGUUUGUCAUCCGUUCGAAUGAUAUGCGUGCUGCCCUUCACUGGGUUGGCGCUGCAUGUUUUCGAUCUUUUACUUUGAAAAAAUUAGAGUGUUUCAAGCAGGCAUGUUUUGCUAUGAAUACAUUAGCAUGGAAUAAUAAUCUAGGACUUUCGGUUCUAUUUUGUUGGUGUUCUGGAGCUGAAGUA